UGCAGUCGAACGGCAGCACGGAGCUUGCUCUGGUGGCGAGUGGCGAACGGGUGAGUAAUGCGUCGGAACGUAUCCAAUAAUGGGGGAUAACGCAGCGAAAGCUGUGCUAAUACCGCAUACGCCCUCCGGGGGAAAGCAGGGGAUCGUAAGACCUUGCGUUAAUGGAGCGGCCGACGUCUGAUUAGCUAGUUGGUAGGGUAAAGGCCUACCAAGGCGACGAUCAGUAGCUGGUCUGAGAGGAUGAUCAGCCACACUGGGACUGAGACACGGCCCAGACUCCUACGGGAGGCAGCAGUGGGGAAUUUUGGACAAUGGGCGCAAGCCUGAUCCAGCCAUUCCGCGUGAGUGAAGAAGGCCUUCGGGUUGUAAAGCUCUUUCAGGAGGGAAGAAACGAUUGUGGCUAAUACCCAUGAUUAAUGACGGUACCUUCAGAAGAAGCACCGGCUAACUACGUGCCAGCAGCCGCGGUAAUACGUAGGGUGCGAGCGUUAAUCGGAAUUACUGGGCGUAAAGCGUGCGCAGGCGGUUUUUCAAGUCUGAUGUGAAAUCCCCGGGCUUAACCUGGGAACUGCGUUGGAAACUGAAAGACUAGAGUGCGGCAGAGGGGGGUAGAAUUCCACGUGUAGCAGUGAAAUGCGUAGAUAUGUGGAGGAAUACCGAUGGCGAAGGCAGCCCCCUGGGUCGACACUGACGCUCAUGCACGAAAGCGUGGGUAGCAAACAGGAUUAGAUACCCUGGUAGUCCACGCCCUAAACGAUGUCAACUAGUUGUUGGGGAGGGAGACCUCCUUAGUAACGCAGCUAACGCGUGAAGUUGACCGCCUGGGGAGUACGGUCGCAAGAUUAAAACUCAAAGGAAUUGACGGGGGCCCGCACAAGCGGUGGAUUAUGUGGAUUAAUUCGAUGCACGCGAAAAC
This 916-nucleotide ribosomal RNA is filed under the name uncultured bacterium. RNAcentral describes it as "bacterial SSU rRNA". It matches the Rfam family "Bacterial small subunit ribosomal RNA", at positions 56 to 968 of the family's 1533-position model. The record is from RNAcentral.